Molecule: ribosomal RNA, 497 nt
Filed under: uncultured bacterium
Lineage: Bacteria
Description: partial 16S ribosomal RNA
Rfam family: Bacterial small subunit ribosomal RNA
Source: RNAcentral
GACGAACGCUGGCGGCGUGCCUAAUACAUGCAAGUUGAGCGCUGAAGGUUGGUACUUGUACCAACUGGAUGAGCAGCGAACGGGUGAGUAACGCGUGGGGAAUCUGCCUUUGAGCGGGGGACAACAUUUGGAAACGAAUGCUAAUACCGCAUAAAAACUUUAAACACAAGUUUUAAGUUUGAAAGAUGCAAUUGCCUCACUCAAAGAUGAUCCCGCGUUGUAUUAGCUAGUUGGUGAGGUAAAGGCUCACCAAGGCGAUGAUACAUAGCCGACCUGAGAGGGUGAGCGGCCACAUUGGGACGGAGACACGGCCCAAACUCCUACGGGAGGCAGCAGUAGGGAAUCUUCGGCAAUGGACGAAAGUCUGACCGAGCAACGCCGCGGGAGUGCAGAAGGUUUUCGGAUCGUAAAACUCUGUUGGUAGAGAAGAACGUUGGUGAGAGUGGAAAGCUCAUAAAGUGACGGUAACUACCCAGAAAGGGACGGCUAACUACGUG